Long non-coding RNA from Cygnus olor (mute swan), 1208 nucleotides. RefSeq lists it as uncharacterized. The transcript is spliced from 7 exons. The record is from RefSeq and is a predicted model, not a curated record. NCBI's taxonomy places the organism in Eukaryota, Metazoa, Chordata, Aves, Anseriformes, Anatidae.
UAUUUGAUUUAUUUCAGCCAAAUUUAGGAGAGGGAGGUCUGACUCUUCUAUUUCAUGUAUGGGCUGUAUGUACUUCUUAUACCAGUACCUGUACAGGGAAACAAACAAACAAACAAAACAAAACAAGUACUUUCAUUGAGGAGAAGACCAUGGCUUAGGGUAGUCUUGAUCUGUUUGUCCUGCUGGGUAGUCCAUCAGAAAAAGCAUGCAAGCUACGCGCCAACGUGAUCAGUUCUGGGACAGAUGCAUUCUAGAGCAGAUCUGGGGUUUGCAGCAUGCAGGGAUUUUCUUGCACCAAGGCCAUUCAAGGCAGCCAAAGGAGUCACCAGGGGCCAGCAAGCCCUUGCGAGAGCAGCUGAUGGGAUUUGGGCAGAGCCAGGAGCAGGCGCCUCCCUCAUUCAAAGGCAGUCCCUAGGGAGUGCAACGAACAGAACUGGCAGUCAGGGUGCGGUGUGGCAGUUUGUGGUGCAGCUUGCACAGGCCCGGGUGUGAGCAGGGAGGGUGGAGGAGAAUGAAAACUUAAGCAGAAGUCAAUGGGGAUAUUUUUGUUGAAACAUGAGGAGACUGGGAUCGUAAUUUUAAGGGAGCAAACAAGCCAAGGGUGUGCCCUGGAUACAUUCUCACUGAAAAAUAAAUCCAUGCUAAAAAAAGCAGGAGAAUCCUGAAAUUUUCCAGUGUCUCAUCUACCAUGGUUUCCAGCUGUCACCCAGUUUUAAUGUGUUUCCUCUUUUGUACUGGAGAGUAAAGAUCCUUCAUUUAGCUGUCAUCCAGACCCAGUGUUUUAGCCUGACACCUGAACUUAAUUUAGAAGAAUAAGAUUAUUGCACUGUAAAAUAAUUCUUAGUAUCUGCAUUUAAGAUAUGGGAGGAUUCAGUGUAGAAUCCUGUGUUUCCAUGGAUCAAAUGGCUACAGAGGGCUGCACCUGGAGUGAUUUGCUGAAGAAAAAAUAUUUCCCAAAGCGAAUAAUAAACUUGAAGAAACUGGAGAAAAGGCUUGCUGUAACCUAAAUGUACAUAUUGUGACCUGCAUGUUGGAAAUUUUGCCGUAUAAAGAAGCAGAUAUCCAAGCUUGCAACAGCAACUUCCACAUGAUACAUUCAUCAUGCUUACACCAAAAUCUUACAGUGGAGUACACACACACACACACAGCUGAAUGAUUUUUGCAGAAAUUUAAAUGAAAGCAAAGAAUUACCCAAUAUUGUCAUAAAU